Mustela erminea (ermine) is the source of this 966-nucleotide long non-coding RNA. RefSeq lists it as uncharacterized. The record is from RefSeq and is a predicted model, not a curated record. The transcript is spliced from 2 exons. NCBI's taxonomy places the organism in Eukaryota, Metazoa, Chordata, Mammalia, Carnivora, Mustelidae.
GCUGUGGGCACGUGACGCGGGGUAUUAGCGCGAGGCUGGGGUGCGUGGGGGGUGUAAGGUAGUCUUCCGGGGGCUGCUUAGGCGCGUGGUGGGGAGUGGGGUUUGGGCACGCGGAGUGGCUGCUGGCUUGACUCUGGAGGCUUGUCGCUUCCCCGACCUGUCCGUGGGAAAGGUGCGGCGUCACUGCUUAGGAACGCUGAACGCGAGAGCUGGUGUUCUCCAGAGCAGAAGGGUUCCGAGGCCCAGGCGCACGUACUUGUCUUCCUUCCUGGUCGAGCUAGACGCUUCUUCAGGCAUAGACUUACCGCAGGGUGCUGAAAUAAACCACCCGAACACACCCCUGCUCGUCCUCCCCUCACCGCGUGCUGACUUGAAGGGCUGUUGGAGGUUGGUGCUAAUACAGCUUUCGCUUUCAGGGGCUGACUCUGGAAGCCAGCGCCCUCCGGGGAUGUGACGGGGCAGCUCCGUCAGCCCUCAGCGAGACCCACGGAGUAGACUCGAACGAACACCUGUUGUCCGCCAGACCUUGCCGUGGCUGCUCAGGGGCCUCUGCCUUAUAAUUCUGCUUGUUAAUUGAAAUACACCUAAGCCUGGUAACUGGAGAGUCCAGGAAAGAAUGAGCGAUCCUGGGAGGACAGAGUGCGGCAGGGUUAGCGCUCCGGAGGGCAACCUCCCCAGAGCUGGCUUUUCUCAUGGGCGGCAAUUCCUCGCGGCGGUGCUAGAGACACUGUGAAGAUUAAAUGAAAGGCCCUUGGAGGACUGUAUGGCACAUAGCUAAGUACCAGCAACUCAAUAAACUGUUGCUAGUUGUUCAGAACCUAUCACACCAAGAAGGAAUCCUAAUGUAAACAAUGGACUUUGGGGAUAAUGUUCUGUCCACAUAGGUUCAUCAGUUGAAAAAAAUAAAUACCCCACGCUGGUGCAGGAUGUGGAUAGUGGAGGAUUUGGACUUGUGUUGGGACCAGA